CUUGCCACCCUGAACGUACCUAAUAGUGUCUGAUUUUGGAUGCUAAACAGGAUUGGACCUGGUUAGUAUUUAGAUGGAAGACCACCAAGAUAGGUCGAACUAAGC
RNAcentral lists this ribosomal RNA (105 nucleotides) under Pogona vitticeps (central bearded dragon). Lineage: Eukaryota; Metazoa; Chordata; Lepidosauria; Squamata; Agamidae. The record is from RNAcentral.